This 57-nucleotide transfer RNA is filed under the name Dipodomys ordii (Ord's kangaroo rat). It matches the Rfam family "tRNA", at positions 8 to 63 of the family's 71-position model. From Rfam's summary of the family: Transfer RNA (tRNA) molecules are approximately 80 nucleotides in length. Their secondary structure includes four short double-helical elements and three loops (D, anti-codon, and T loops). Lineage: Eukaryota; Metazoa; Chordata; Mammalia; Rodentia; Heteromyidae. The record is from Rfam by way of RNAcentral.
UAGCUCAGUGGUAGAGCACUUGCCUUGCAUGCAUGAGGUCCUGGGUUCGAUUCCUUA